This 320-nucleotide ribosomal RNA is filed under the name uncultured eukaryote. RNAcentral describes it as "partial 18S ribosomal RNA". It matches the Rfam family "Eukaryotic small subunit ribosomal RNA", at positions 1470 to 1796 of the family's 1831-position model. The record is from RNAcentral.
CCCUUAGAUGUCCGGGGCCGCACGCGCGCUACACUGAAGGAAUCAGCGUGGCUUUCUCCCUGACCCGAAAGGGUUGGGAAACCCGUUGAAUCUCCUUCGUGAUAGGGAUUGGGGCUUGAAAUUGUUCCCCAUGAACGAGGAAUUCCCAGUAAGCGCGAGUCAUAAGCUCGCGUUGAUUACGUCCCUGCCCUUUGUACACACCGCCCGUCGCUCCUACCGAUUUUGAGUGAUCCGGUGAACCUUUUGGACUGCGGUGUCUUCAUGGCACUCGUGGGAAGUUAAGUAAACCUUAUCACUUAGAGGAAGGAGAAGUCGUAACA